GAUGAACGCUGGCGGCGUGCCUAAUACAUGCAAGUCGAGCGAACAGGCGAGGAGCUUGCUCCUCUGACGUUAGCGGCGGACGGGUGAGUAACACGUGGAUAACCUACCUAUAAGACUGGGAUAACUUCGGGAAACCGGAGCUCAUACCGGAUAAUAUAUUGAACCGCAUGGUUCAAUAGUGAAAGACGGUUUUGCUGUCACUUAUAGAUGGAUCCGCGCCGCAUUAGCUAGUGGGUAAGGUAACAGCUUACCAAGGCAACGCUGCGUAGCCGACGUGAGAGGGUGAUCGGCCACACUGGAACUGAGACACGGUCCAGACUCCUACGGGAGGCAGCAGUAGGGAAUCUGCCGCAAUGGGCGAAAGCCUGACGGAGCAACGCCGCGUGAGAGAUGAAGGUCUUCGGAUCGUAAAACUCUGUUAUUAGGGAAGAACAAAUGUGUAAGUAACUAUGCACGUCUUGACGGUACCUAAUCAGAAAGCCACGGCUAACUACGUG
This 497-nucleotide ribosomal RNA is filed under the name uncultured bacterium. RNAcentral describes it as "partial 16S ribosomal RNA". It matches the Rfam family "Bacterial small subunit ribosomal RNA", at positions 28 to 507 of the family's 1533-position model. The record is from RNAcentral.